This 1145-nucleotide ribosomal RNA is filed under the name uncultured cyanobacterium. RNAcentral describes it as "bacterial SSU rRNA". It matches the Rfam family "Bacterial small subunit ribosomal RNA", at positions 377 to 1533 of the family's 1533-position model. Lineage: Bacteria; Bacillati; Cyanobacteriota. The record is from RNAcentral.
CGAAGCCUGACGGAGCAAUACCGCGUGAGGGAAGAAGGCUUUUGGGUUGUAAACCUCUUUUAUCAGGGAAGAAGAAUUGACGGUACCUGAAGAAAAAGCAUCGGCUGACUCCGUGCCAGCAGCCGCGGUAAUACGGAGGAUGCAAGCGUUAUCCGGAGUCAUUGGGCGUAAAGGGUCCGCAGGUGGCGAAUAAAGUCUGCUGUUAAAGACCGGGGCUUAACUCCGGAAAGGCAGUGGAAACUGAUUAGCUAGAGUACGGUAGGGGUAGAGGGAAUUCCCAGUGUAGCGGUGAAAUGCGUAGAUAUUGGGAAGAACACCGGUGGCGAAAGCGCUCUACUAGGCCGAAACUGACACUGAGGGACGAGAGCUAGGGUAGCGAAAGGGAUUAGAUACCCCUGUAGUCUUAGCGGUAAACGAUGGAUACUAGGUGUAGCUUGUAUCGACCCGAGCUGUGCCGAAGCUAACGCGAUAAGUAUCCCGCCUGGGGAGUACGCACGCAAGUGUGAAACUCAAAGGAAUUGACGGGGGCCCGCACAAGCGGUGGAGUAUGUGGUUUAAUUCGAUGCAACGCGAAGAACCUUACCAGGGCUUGACAUGUCGCGAAUCUAGCGGAAGCGUUAGAGUGCCUUAGGGAAUGCGAACACAGGUGGUGCAUGGCUGUCGUCAGCUCGUGUCGUGAGAUGUUGGGUUAAGUCCCGCAACGAGCGCAACCCUCGUCCUUAGUUGCCAAUAUUAAAUUAGGCACUCUAGGGAGACUGCCGGGGACAACUCGGAGGAAGGUGGGGAUGACGUCAAGUCAGCAUGCCCCUUACGUCCUGGGCGACACACGUACUACAAUGGUUGGGACAAAGGGCAGCAAGCUCGCGAGAGUAAGCGAAUCUCAUCAAACCCAGCCACAGUUCAGAUUGCAGGCUGCAACUCGCCUGCAUGAAGUAGGAAUCGCUAGUAAUCGCAGGUCAGCAUACUGCGGUGAAUUCGUUCCCGGGCCUUGUACACACCGCCCGUCACACCAUGGAAGCUGGCUACGCCCGAAGUCGUUACCCUAACCCGGUUUUGGGAGGGGGAUGCCGAAGGUAGAGCUAGUGACUGGGGUGAAGUCGUAACAAGGUAGCCGUACCGGAAGGUGUGGCUGGAUCACCUCCUUU